This 995-nucleotide ribosomal RNA is filed under the name Acinetobacter baumannii ZWS1219. RNAcentral's name for it is "bacterial SSU rRNA". It matches the Rfam family "Bacterial small subunit ribosomal RNA", at positions 1 to 991 of the family's 1533-position model. Lineage: Bacteria; Pseudomonadati; Pseudomonadota; Gammaproteobacteria; Moraxellales; Moraxellaceae. The record is from RNAcentral.
AACUGAAGAGUUUGAUCAUGGCUCAGAUUGAACGCUGGCGGCAGGCUUAACACAUGCAAGUCGAGCGGGGGAAGGUAGCUUGCUACUGGACCUAGCGGCGGACGGGUGAGUAAUGCUUAGGAAUCUGCCUAUUAGUGGGGGACAACAUCUCGAAAGGGAUGCUAAUACCGCAUACGUCCUACGGGAGAAAGCAGGGGAUCUUCGGACCUUGCGCUAAUAGAUGAGCCUAAGUCGGAUUAGCUAGUUGGUGGGGUAAAGGCCUACCAAGGCGACGAUCUGUAGCGGGUCUGAGAGGAUGAUCCGCCACACUGGGACUGAGACACGGCCCAGACUCCUACGGGAGGCAGCAGUGGGGAAUAUUGGACAAUGGGGGGAACCCUGAUCCAGCCAUGCCGCGUGUGUGAAGAAGGCCUUAUGGUUGUAAAGCACUUUAAGCGAGGAGGAGGCUACUUUAGUUAAUACCUAGAGAUAGUGGACGUUACUCGCAGAAUAAGCACCGGCUAACUCUGUGCCAGCAGCCGCGGUAAUACAGAGGGUGCGAGCGUUAAUCGGAUUUACUGGGCGUAAAGCGUGCGUAGGCGGCUUAUUAAGUCGGAUGUGAAAUCCCCGAGCUUAACUUGGGAAUUGCAUUCGAUACUGGUGAGCUAGAGUAUGGGAGAGGAUGGUAGAAUUCCAGGUGUAGCGGUGAAAUGCGUAGAGAUCUGGAGGAAUACCGAUGGCGAAGGCAGCCAUCUGGCCUAAUACUGACGCUGAGGUACGAAAGCAUGGGGAGCAAACAGGAUUAGAUACCCUGGUAGUCCAUGCCGUAAACGAUGUCUACUAGCCGUUGGGGCCUUUGAGGCUUUAGUGGCGCAGCUAACGCGAUAAGUAGACCGCCUGGGGAGUACGGUCGCAAGACUAAAACUCAAAUGAAUUGACGGGGGCCCGCACAAGCGGUGGAGCAUGUGGUUUAAUUCGAUGCAACGCGAAGAACCUUACCUGGCCUUGACAUACUA